RNAcentral lists this ribosomal RNA (435 nucleotides) under uncultured bacterium. RNAcentral's name for it is "partial 16S ribosomal RNA". It matches the Rfam family "Bacterial small subunit ribosomal RNA", at positions 29 to 507 of the family's 1533-position model. The record is from RNAcentral.
AGCGAACGCUGGCGGCAGGCUUAACACAUGCAAGUCGAACGGGCAUAGCAAUAUGUUCGUGGCAGACGGGUGAGUAACGCGUGGGAACGUACCUUUUGGUUCGGAACAACACAGGGAAACUUGUGCUAAUACCGGAUAAGCCCUUACGGGGAAAGAUUUAUCGCCGAAAGAUCGGCCCGCGUCUGAUUAGCUAGUUGGUAGGGUAAUGGCCUACCAAGGCGACGAUCAGUAGCUGGUCUGAGAGGAUGAUCAGCCACAUUGGGACUGAGACACGGCCCAAACUCCUACGGGAGGCAGCAGUGGGGAAUAUUGGACAAUGGGCGAAAGCCUGAUCCAGCCAUGCCGCGUGAGUGAUGAAGGCCCUAGGGUUGUAAAGCUCUUUUGUGCGGGAAGAUAAUGACGGUACCGCAAGAAUAAGCCCCGGCUAACUUCGUG